CUUAUUCCCUCUUUUCUUUACAUUCAGCUCACACAGGGUAAGUCACCUCUGAUCUGAGUGCUUCACAACCUGACUGCUCUAUCUGCCCCAAUAUCUUAAGUAGGAACAGCCAGAGGAAACACUUUCCAAAUGGAAUGAACAUGCUGCAGUCAGUUUGAACUCUUCUUACCCUCAGAUUAAAUUCCUCUUCAAUAAGCUACCUUUAUAAAUUCACACUUCCCAAUACAUAGGAAACAUUAUACGUCACCUUGUCACUGCAUGCAAUGAAGAAUAGUGAUACUGCCUUCCAAGGAGCAAUAAUGAACAUUAUAUCAGUAAGCAAUUAAAAAAAGAAAUCUACAUUAGCCUUGCAUUUUAUUUUUCAAUAAGCCUGCUGUAGUUAUUGUUAUGUGAGAAGUAUUGACUACUAAACAUACUCUAAAUUUUUGGAGUACUUCCUAUUUCUGAAGAAAAUUGAUUCCAAUUCUUCUAGACCAAUCAGAAACAUAUUUACAUAUAUUUAAACACAGGGUAAGAUAUUUGUUAUCCUGAUGAUAUGGUAAAUUACUUUAAUAUUAGAUUUUAUUCUAAUUUGAAAUUGUCCUUUAUCAAAAAGGCUUUGUCUCAAAGUGUUUACAAUAGAAAAAGACUCAUCAGAAAGACUGUUACCUUCUAUUCUACAAAGACAAAGAAGACAAAGAUCUCAUAACUUUCGUCAUACUUUGUAACACAUACACAAUUCAACAUGAAUAAAGACAUAAGAAUGCAGCUAAAAGAAAUAUGACUUGACCAAAAUGAUACAUGGAAGCUAGACAGGUUAAUAUUUGAAAAUGAGGAGCACCUUCACCUUCAACAGACUGCAGUUGGAUAUACCGAUGCUGAGAAAAUGAGACCAAGUAAUACGGCGGAGGUCAUACAAGAAGUCUCUGGCAAAGGUAGAAAUCUAAUCCAGAUCUCAUGAGUUCCAUUCUUCCAAAUGGAGAACCUUUUAAUAACAACAGCAACAACUAUAAUUAUA
Long non-coding RNA from Gavialis gangeticus (Gharial), 997 nucleotides. RefSeq lists it as uncharacterized. The record is from RefSeq and is a predicted model, not a curated record. The transcript has 3 exons. Lineage: Eukaryota; Metazoa; Chordata; Crocodylia; Gavialidae.